RNAcentral lists this ribosomal RNA (117 nucleotides) under Lepisosteus oculatus (spotted gar). The record is from RNAcentral. Lineage: Eukaryota; Metazoa; Chordata; Actinopteri; Semionotiformes; Lepisosteidae.
GCCAGCAGCCAUAUCGCCCUGAAGCUCUCAACUGCCUGCCCCCUGAAGCUAAGCAGGGUUGAGCUUGGUCAAUACCUGGAUGGAAGACCUCCUGGGAAGCUAUGGUUGCUGCUGGAG